UCGCUACUACCGAUUGAAUGGCUUAGUGAGCUCUCUGGACUGUUGCACCUCCGUUGGUAACUUCGGUGAGCAUACGGGAAGGAGAUCAAACUUGAUCAUUUAGAGGAAGUAA
This 112-nucleotide ribosomal RNA is filed under the name uncultured eukaryote. Its description in RNAcentral is "partial small subunit ribosomal RNA". The record is from RNAcentral.